CCGUCAACUUUUUAACAGAUCUUUUGGUCUUCAUUUCAUGAAUUUGAUUGUUGGCUGGGAGAUUUUUCGUCCUUUGUAGAGCGUGGGUGUGAGCCAUGUUCUAUCUUUAGGGUAUUUUUUAUUUAUUUUUUACGAAUUUGGGUUCAUUUAUUUGGUUACUUUGAUUUCAGGUUCUUGGGUAAUCCCUAAUGCUUUUUUUAUUUAUUUUUUACGAAUUUGGGUUCAUUUAUUUGGUUACUUUGAUUUCAGGUUCUUGGGUAAUCCCUAAUGCUAUAUAAGAGGAGCUGAGGUUCUUGGGUAAUCCCUAAUGUUAUAUAAGAGGAGUUGAGGUAUUUAUAUUUCACAACAUAUUGGGUUCUAUGAGGAAGGGGAUUGAAUCUCACAGAUUAGCUCAGCUUGAAUACACCAAAAGGCAAGGGACUAGACAUUUGCAUUCUGCUGUCAUUUUCGAGGUCAAGACCUCCAUCAAAGAGAAGAAAAAUCAUAAAGAACUUGCAAAACAAAACUCGCCCAAUUAAACAGCAUGCUGCUCAAAACUAUCCAAAUUUUGCUAUUUUGAUGGCUACUUCCCACUAUUAACAUCUCAAUGUAUAUACAAACAAGUCUACUAUUUUAACAUAACAAGUAGCCUGUAAAAUAUGUUAUUACUUACUUUUUUUGCAACUUAUACUCCCUUAGUUAAACAUAAUGCUAUAAGUUAAAUCUCAUUGUAUAUAUAAACAAUCUUACUUUGUCUACGCAAUUUUAAAACCCGCAGCAUCGCGCGGGCUUUUCU
This is a long non-coding RNA of Prunus persica (peach), 775 nucleotides long. RefSeq lists it as uncharacterized. The transcript has 4 exons. NCBI's taxonomy places the organism in Eukaryota, Viridiplantae, Streptophyta, Magnoliopsida, Rosales, Rosaceae. The record is from RefSeq and is a predicted model, not a curated record.